UACAGAGGCCCCAAGCGUUAUCCGGAAUCACUGGGCGUAAAGGGUGUCGAGGCGGUCGUAUUAGUCGUUUGUAAAAUCCGUGAGCUCAACUUACGGCCCGCAAGCGAAACGGUACGACUAGAGGUUUGGAGAGGUGCGUGGAACUCACGGUGUAGGGGUGAAAUCCGUUGAUAUCGUGGGGAACACCAAAGGCGAAGGCAGCGCACUGGCCAAAAUCUGACGCUCACACACGAAAGCUAGGGUAGCGAACGGG
Molecule: unclassified non-coding RNA, 253 nt
Filed under: Candidatus Kaiserbacteria bacterium
Lineage: Bacteria; Candidatus Kaiseribacteriota
Description: contains 16S-23S intergenic spacer region
Rfam family: Bacterial small subunit ribosomal RNA
Source: RNAcentral